Molecule: ribosomal RNA, 401 nt
Filed under: uncultured bacterium
Lineage: Bacteria
Description: bacterial SSU rRNA
Rfam family: Bacterial small subunit ribosomal RNA
Source: RNAcentral
GGGGAAUAUUGCACAAUGGGGGAAACCCUGAUGCAGCAACGCCGCGUGAGUGAUGAAGGCCUUCGGGUUGUAAAGCUCUGUCUUCAGGGACGAUAAUGACGGUACCUGAGGAGGAAGCCACGGCUAACUACGUGCCAGCAGCCGCGGUAAUACGUAGGUGGCAAGCGUUGUCCGGAUUUACUGGGCGUAAAGGGAGCGUAGGCGGAUACUUAAGUGGGAUGUGAAAUACCCGGGCUCAACUUGGGUGCUGCAUUCCAAACUGGGUGUCUAGAGUGCAGGAGAGGAAAGUGGAAUUCCUAGUGUAGCGGUGAAAUGCGUAGAGAUUAGGAAGAACACCAGUGGCGAAGGCGACUUUCUGGACUGUAACUGACGCUGAGGCUCGAAAGCGUGGGGAGCAAACA